This 467-nucleotide ribosomal RNA is filed under the name uncultured bacterium. RNAcentral's name for it is "partial 16S ribosomal RNA". It matches the Rfam family "Bacterial small subunit ribosomal RNA", at positions 28 to 506 of the family's 1533-position model. The record is from RNAcentral.
GACGAACGCUGGCGGCGUGCUUAACACAUGCAAGUCGAACGGAAAGGCCCUGCUUUUGUGGGGUGCUCGAGUGGCGAACGGGUGAGUAACACGUGAGUAACCUGCCCUUGACUUUGGGAUAACUUCAGGAAACUGGGGCUAAUACCGGAUAGGAGCUCCUGCUGCAUGGUGGGGGUUGGAAAGUUUCGGCGGUUGGGGAUGGACUCGCGGCUUAUCAGCUUGUUGGUGGGGUAGUGGCUUACCAAGGCUUUGACGGGUAGCCGGCCUGAGAGGGUGACCGGCCAAAUGGGGACUGAGAUACGCCCCAGACUCCUACGGGGGGCAGCGGGGGGGAAUAUUGCACAAGGGGCGGAAGCCUGACGCAGCAACGCCGGGGGGGGGAUGCCGGCCUUCGGGUUGUAAACCGCUUUCGCCUGUGACGAAGCGUGAGUGCCGGUAAUGGGGAAAGAAGCCCCGGCUACCUACGU